RNAcentral lists this long non-coding RNA (530 nucleotides) under Triticum aestivum (bread wheat). RNAcentral describes it as "long non-coding RNA (TAES_LNC020331)". Lineage: Eukaryota; Viridiplantae; Streptophyta; Magnoliopsida; Poales; Poaceae. The record is from RNAcentral.
ACUGAGGAAAUUUCUUGACUGGAAGGUCACAUUUCAAGCCAUUGCACUUAUAAAACCCAGCCCUGUUGUUAUUUAAAUUGCAAAUUAAUCAUCAAUAAUGCACAAUAAUUUAUGACCCACAAACGAUUUGGAGCCUAAGGAGGAGAAAAUGUCAAUGCAAAUAAAUACACACAUAGUAAGAUGCAUUGCAAUUGUCGUAUUACUUGAAUUUGUAAGCUGACCAGCAAACGCAUAGUACACAAAAGAGACAAAGCUUUAACCAUAAUUGGUGCUUAACCUUCUUGCUCCUGAUAAUGAUUUUGGCCAUGAAGGCAUCAGAGUAAGGGGAGGAAGAACGGAACGGCGCCUGCCGGAAGUUGCCGAUGGGUGUUGACGGCCUGGCCAAGCCAUCUCCCUCCAUGAUAGGUGGCAGACGGCGGAGAGGUGUAAAUAUGACAAGAUGUGAAAAUAAGCUCGAGGAAAUUAAUAUGGACCAGCAAACUGACAAAAGCAGAACAACAACAACAACAACAACAAAGCCUUUAGUCCCA